Molecule: ribosomal RNA, 253 nt
Filed under: uncultured bacterium
Lineage: Bacteria
Description: partial 16S ribosomal RNA
Rfam family: Bacterial small subunit ribosomal RNA
Source: RNAcentral
UACGUAGGGGGCAAGCGUUGUCCGGAAUCAUUGGGCGUAAAGCGCGCGUAGGCGGCCAGAUAAGUCCGGUGUGAAAGUCACAGGCUCAACCUGUGAAUGCCGCUGGAAACUGUCUGGCUUGAGUCCGGAAGAGGAGAGUGGAAUUCCCGGUGUAGCGGUGAAAUGCGCAGAUAUCGGGAAGAACACCCGUGGCGAAGGCGGCUCUCUGGGACGGUACUGACGCUGAGACGCGAAAGCGUGGGGAGCGAACAGG